This 496-nucleotide ribosomal RNA is filed under the name uncultured bacterium. Its description in RNAcentral is "partial 16S ribosomal RNA". It matches the Rfam family "Bacterial small subunit ribosomal RNA", at positions 28 to 506 of the family's 1533-position model. The record is from RNAcentral.
GAUGAACGCUGGCGGCGUGCCUAAUACAUGCAAGUCGAGCGAACAGACGAGGAGCUUGCUCCUCUGACGUUAGCGGCGGACGGGUGAGUAACACGUGGAUAACCUACCUAUAAGACUGGGAUAACUUCGGGAAACCGGAGCUAAUACCGGAUAAUAUAUUGAACCGCAUGGUUCAAUAGUGAAAGACGGUUUUGCUGUCACUUAUAGAUGGAUCCGCGCCGCAUUAGCUAGUUGGUAAGGUAACGGCUUACCAAGGCGACGAUGCGUAGCCGACCUGAGAGGGUGAUCGGCCACACUGGAACUGAGACACGGUCCAGACUCCUACGGGAGGCAGCAGUAGGGAAUCUUCCGUAAUGGGCGAAAGCCUGACGGAGCAACGCCGCGUGAGUGAUGAAGGUCUUCGGAUCGUAAAACUCUGUUAUUAGGGAAUAACAAAUGUGUAAGUAACUAUGCACGUCUUGACGGUACCUAAUCAGAAAGCCACGGCUAACUACGU